GAUGAACGCUGGCGGCGUGCCUAAUACAUGCAAGUCGAGCGAACGCACGAUAAGCGCGUUUCCCUGCGGUUAGCGGCGGACGGGUGAGUAACACGUGGAUAACCUACUUAUAAUUCUGGGAUAACUUCGGGAAAACGUUGACAAUACUGGAUAAUAUUUUGUACGGCAUAGUUCAAAAGUGAAUGACGGUUUUGCUGACACUUAUAGAUGGAUCCGCGCUGCAUUAGCUAGUUGGUAAGGUAACGGCAUACCAAGGCGACGAUGCGUAGCUGAUCUGAGAGGAUGAUCAGCCACACUGGAACUGAGACACGGUCCAGACUCCUACGGGAGGCAGCAGUAGGGAAUAUUGCACAAUGGGCGAAAGCCUGACGCAGCAAUGCCGCGUGGGUGAAGAAGGUCUUCGGAUCGUAAAGCUCUGUUAUUAGGAAAGAACAGAAGUGUGUGAAUACGCGGCUGUCUUGACGGUACCUAAAGAAAAAGCACCGGCUAACUACGUG
RNAcentral lists this ribosomal RNA (497 nucleotides) under uncultured bacterium. RNAcentral's name for it is "partial 16S ribosomal RNA". It matches the Rfam family "Bacterial small subunit ribosomal RNA", at positions 28 to 507 of the family's 1533-position model. The record is from RNAcentral.